RNA transcript from Syngnathus acus (greater pipefish), 2892 nucleotides. RefSeq lists it as uncharacterized. Lineage: Eukaryota; Metazoa; Chordata; Actinopteri; Syngnathiformes; Syngnathidae. The transcript has 3 exons. The record is from RefSeq and is a predicted model, not a curated record.
UAGUCCGUCCAGCUUACGCUGUGCCUGGUCAAAAUUUGUCUGCACUCCGCAACAAGAAGGUUUCAGAGAUGUGCUGGGAAACUUUAUGAAUGAAUGAGCAAUGUAUCCAUACGACAUUGUAAAGAGGCCUGCAACGAUAUAUUACCGUAUUGAUUUUUGAGCACACAUCUAUUAUAUGGGAUGGGCAAAAAAAUUAAUCCAGGGGCCUGCCUGUGGUUGACAUUUGCCCAUUCCUGGCUUAGACUGUCAUAGACUAUCAUCAAAGAGAUUGGAAGAGUCACAGAAAGGCAUAGAAGUGCAGGUCACAAUGGCAAUGGAAAUAAAAUCCAACCGAUCAAGUUGUGCGAAUAGUAUUGAACCAUUGGACAGCUGGACAUGAGUUCACAAGUUUCGAGAAGGUCAAAUUAAGUUCAGCAAAUGGUUCUAGUGCAUUUUAGGUUCAUCCUGAAUAUUUACCCCAAAUCCAUAUACCUCCAAAGUUUUGUGAUGUGAAUGUAUGUGUGUUUGCAUGGAGAGUGGUAGUCCAUUAAUUUUUGUGUUCGACUGAAUGCAGCAUUAAUAUUUUAAUGUAUUAACUUCGUCUCAUGUUGCCCUUUUGUCUAGCGCCUAUGUCACAACUUGUGAUCGCAGAGAGAAAAGAGGAGGAGCGGGAAGGACAGUGAAAAAAGAUAUGUCCCUCAAGAUACCAAGGAGAGACAGAAGCAAAGAGGUCAGCAUCAGUGCAAGUGUUAUUGUAUUGCUUACAAGAAAGGAACUCCAGGUGAGUGAAAGCAUUGCUCUUGUGCUGGCACCAUGAAGGUGAGGCGAGCUGGGGGAUUAUGGAAACAUGAGAAGCUGCCCUGAGCAUCACUGCAUUUUGUAGAUUCAUUUUUAAUCAUCUCUAUCCACAGAUAAGAGAGCUGCAUUCGAAGACUGACUUGUUUCAUUUAGUAAACAACGAAGGUAGAACCACUGCUGCGCAUUUCAUUUCUACCAAUCGCUUUCCUUGAUGUGUCUUGAACUCUUUGCCACUUGACUGGGCACGGUUAUUUCUUGUCUCUUCAAAUUGAAGUCCCCUCUUGUGAUGAUGUAACUCAAAGGGUCCAAUUGACCUUAUAGUCAACAGCUUUUCAAGUAAGUAACCUGAAGUACCAAUGAGUAGCUGUAAUUAGCUGUAUUUCUACAGUGGUCAUAUUUUCAGUACGUGUAAUUUGGCUGCACUCCCAUUUGCAUGGCUUGUGUUUCCACAAUGGGUGUGUAAUUGAUGGCAGUUAUUAAUGUGACUUCAUGGCUGUCGCAGUAAGUUCAUCAAAGAAAACAAGAAACUAAAGCCCUGUUUAAAUCCUUUAAAGCAGUGGUAACCCACAUUUUCUUCGAGCUUUUCCAAUUCCAUAGCAUUCUUUGCACACAAAGGAAAAGGACGCUUUUGCAAAUGGCAGCUUUAUUCUCCAAUAGAAAAAAAUAAGUUGUGUUUUUUUAUGUUAAAAAGAACAAGUGGAAUAUUAGAUGAAUAGAAAAGAUAAGUCAUGUUUUUUAUGUUAAAAUAAGUUAUGUUUUUUAUGUUUAAAAAGAAGGGACUAAGAACACUGGUCCAUCAGCAAAUUUUCUCACAGAUGGCUUUUAUGCCAAACCUAUUUUGACCCUUUCAAACAUGUCUUUACCCUUUCAUGUCUUUUUUUUUUCACAAGCUUGCAUUGUUCAUGUUCUGUCAGUUGCAGUCCAUCUUGGCAAUGCCACGUGAACACCUUCCUCUCAUUGGUUCUUCUGGAAAUAAUACUGGUGAGCUACAUUCAAGCCUCAUCUCCCGUCACGGACUCCCCAGCGUAUGAAACGCAGAAAGCGCAGCCAUCAGGAGAGACCUUCUGAUCACGACAGACAACUUCCUCUCCUCUCAGAUUCCACAGUGACACCCUGGCGAUCCCUCCUUCUCUCCGACUCCUCUUUUUCAUCUAUUCAUGUGGCCCCUUCUCCAAAACCGCCUCCAUCAACCCCUCAUCUUGGCAAUCACAAUGAAGAGUUAACUUUAAGUUUCAGCUCGAGCGAUGAAGGAUGCAAAGAAUUCAUCACACAACAGAAGAUGUGGACCCAGUCAGUGACACCUCGUCCAACACGUCUCCCUCCAAUGCGUCCCAUUACCAACCUCAGCUUCUCUCGCAGCUUCACUUUCUCUUUCUUUGAGCUUCCUCUGCAUCAGUCACCUCGAUGGCGUUCCGAACGUAUGAAAAACCUUAUGCAGCUUUUGAGACAGACACAUUACUGAUCCCACCUUCUAGAAAAAAAAAAAACAACUAAUGCCUGUUAUUUGUUUUGAUCAAUUAGAAUACUCAUAAACUCUUAAUUACGUGUGUGUUUGGCUUGAUCUAUCAGUUAAAUAACCUAAUGGGCAUUUUAAAUGAUGGAGCAGGCCACCAGUUUUCAGCAGCUAUCUUUGCCGUGUGUUUUUUUCUAAAUCCCUCAAAAUUCAAAAUGCCUCCAAUAUGCACUUUCUAGAAAAAAAAACAGUUCUGGGGGUUGUGGAUCGGGCUCUGAGCGUACUCUGCGCAGCUUUUAUGUUCUCCAGCUUGUGUGGGGUUUUGCUAGGUAAUCUGACUUUCUUCCCGCAUUCCGUAAUGGUGUGCUCUGAGAGAUCAUCUGGAGUGCCAUGGGAACUUUUACCGAGGCAGAGUAAAUUUCCAUUUUCUUUGCCGCUUUUACUUAAACAAAUAAAUAAAUGUGUAUAAAUUGAGAUCCAAUGAUCAUUAUUUUAAUGCUCAUACUUUUUGUGACCCGGCUGGUGGUGUACCAUGAAAAUCUAAUAGGACAUUAAAGGUUAAAGCAUUAUUGGCUCAGCCAAUGGACCCUGAACACUUCCUUGAGUGACGGCAGCUGUUGCGGUGCACUCUGGGACUUGUAGUAUCUGAUCCAAACUAAAUA